GCUGUGUUGGUGAGCACAUUGCCAAUGUCUCCCACGGCUGGACUCACUGCCACCCUGCCUCAUGCACUGACGGUGGGCUCCGGCCCUCCCUGACCAACACCCCAGGCCNNNNNNNNNNNNNNNNNNNNNNNNNNCUGAGUCCUCUCCUAGGGCCUGUCUGCUUGUGACUCAGCACUUGGCCACUCCCAGUUCUGUGGUGCUGCCUGCCUGGUAAGCACACUGACAGUGUCUCCCCGACCCGACUCGCUGUCCUCGUGUGUGUACUAACCAUGGUCUCCGUGAUUCCACCUGGAUCACACUCCAGGUGUCCCUGUCUGUCUCUGUGCAGCUGGGCCAAAUCUUUCCCCUGAUCUCCCUCCAGGCUGUGAUGUGGAAUGAGCAGGCUGGGAUGUUUGCCUGUUUGGAUUGGGUAGUGUGGUGAAGAGGCAGCUUCUAGUGCAAGGCUUUUUCUGCCCUUGUUGGCAAGCCAGCAUGGGAACACUCCUUGCAAGCAGAGUCUAGGCUUCUUCAGCCCUUCUGCUGGUCUCACUGGGUUUCCCAGCAGGCAAGCGGGCUUGCCUUCUCUGUACAGGAUCCCUGGGCUGGGAUGCCCAGACUAUGGGUCUAUUUGCUCCUUCCCCGAGGUAAGGGUCCACCUGUGUGUAUCUCCUGUUUCUUACAGAUUCCUGACAAGGGUGCCGGUCCUGACCUGAUGCCUUUUUUGCUAUCCUACCUAGUUAUGUGAAGGUCAUUCUUUCAGCCUUGGUUGCAUAGGGGAUCUUCUGCCAGGUUCCAGUUAGUUUUCUGGGAGAAUUGUUCUAUGUGUACAUGUACUUUUGAUGUAUUUGGUGGGGGAGGUAAGCUCCAUGCCCUCCUACUCUACUAUCUUGACCCCCUCUCCUGUUCUUAACUGCCAAUUUUCAGUGUGGAAUUCAAUUGUAGUAACUGGCUACUUCCUUUUAUGGCUACUAUGGGCUCAUGGGUUUUUAAUCCACUAAAUAUAUUGCCAAUAGUCAUUCUUUUUGUUCCAGAUAGCUUUUGAAGCAUCUUAAUUUACAUGAUACAUUUAUGUAAAGAAAAUGAUAAUUGUGCAUUUUGUAAUUGAAGCCAAAGGUCUUGUACUAAUUUCUCUUCUUAGAAGAGAAUAAUAUACAUUUUCUAUUAUUUAGGAGCUCCAAGAUUUUGGGCUCUGUUUGACUUUCCAGAACUCCUCCAAAUACACGCAGACUUUUGGUUGAUUUAGAUGUGAAUCUGGCUAUUUUGCAUUUGGUAAUGCAAUCCUUAGUGCUGUCUUUUGAGGAAUGUGAAUAACUGAGAUCAGAUCAUCUAUAACAAAUCUAUAGGUCAGAAAUUCUUUCAACACUUGUUUCUUACAGCAAAAACAUUCCUACCUAGAUUUAUGAAGCAUAGCUUCACUUUCAAACACACAGUAAGUUGAGGAUUGAUUCCUGUAGUACUGAACUUUGCAGUGUUUUCUUUUCAUAGAAGAGCCUCACUCUCAAGCCCUGCGUGGGUGCAUGUUUUCUGAAGGAUCUUCCUUAGACUCUUAGAAGCACUGCCUUCCUUAAAUGCACUCUCACCUGCUCUUUCAUGAAACUGAUGAACCCUUUCGUUUUUGUGCAUUCUGUCCAAGGAAGUCCUCCGUGCUGGAAAAGGGAGAAACUGCAAAACAGAAAACUCAGCAUUUGCAAGUAGACUAGAAAACAUCAUGAAUCACUAAUGCUCAAAAUGCAGUUGGCGAUUUUGCACCAAACACAAUUACCACGUGCCUUGGGAAGCAAGCCUAUUCUAUUGUUAAACUAAGAAAGCAUUCACUUCUAGUUUCUAUGACAGUAGAAAGUAAACACUCUACAGACUCAGAAGAGAGAAGUCUCCAAAGAGAUCUGAGAAAUGCUUAGAGAAUAGAGGAAGAAAAAAAAAAUAUAUAUAUAUACACACACUAUCUUCACAAAAUGUGAAGUCAUUAAGAAAAUGGAAAAGGACAUUCUUGUAACAUUUAAGAGAUUUGUACUUUCUUUUUUCUCUGAAGUGCAAAGAAGUUUGGAGACCCAAAGAACUCAGCAAUGCUUCCACUGUUGACUAACUCUUCUAUGAAAGAGUAGAAAUUAUCCUGGGCUAUGAUCUAGGGAUCUUAGCCUGAGCCUUGUAUUCCUAUCUCUAGUUUGGUAUUCCUCUUUUUAUAGAAAAAGAUUGUCCUUUCUUCCUUGCAUUUUCAUAAGCCCACAUGGAAAUUAUUUUGACACACCUGUCAAAAUAGUAA
RNAcentral lists this long non-coding RNA (2239 nucleotides) under Capra hircus (goat). Its description in RNAcentral is "lncRNA (ENSCHIG00010028800.1)". The record is from RNAcentral. Lineage: Eukaryota; Metazoa; Chordata; Mammalia; Artiodactyla; Bovidae.